This 1088-nucleotide long non-coding RNA is filed under the name Cyanistes caeruleus (blue tit). RNAcentral describes it as "lncRNA (ENSCCEG00000024290.1)". Lineage: Eukaryota; Metazoa; Chordata; Aves; Passeriformes; Paridae. The record is from RNAcentral.
AUAACACUUCCUUAAAACAUUAUGUGCAUUGUUAGGAAAACGUGUGAUCACUUAAAAUUGAAAGCCACCAGUUGCUGUUAGAGCAUUUUAAAGAAGUUAGUGAUUACUGGGGUGGAGACUAAUAGCAUGGUGCUUUCUAAUUUUGUGUUCAUUUCAUGCUUUUUAGGACAAAAAAUCAUAUACAGCUGUAAGGAGUUGGUUCACACAGAAUUAGAUGUGCUGAAGCUGCCACCUGAUGUUUCCUGAUGUUGCCACACACGAGGCCUCUGUGUGACAUCUGUCUCUGAAAAUUUCUGGUCACUGCCCUUAUAAAUGGGAUCAUUUAUAGAAUAUAAGGGAUAGAGGGUCCUUCCAGAAAACCAGCCCAAGUGAAGUAAAUUCAUAGCAUAUCAGAUCCCUGCCAAGGGAAAAGUGUUGCCUAAAAUCAGCUCAAACCUGCUCUUUCCACUGGGAAAAGGAGUUCCUAGAGAACUGCAGAUUUGCCAGCCUUGAAACAGGAACAAAACAAUAACCAUCACUCAUGGGACCUGCCUGACUGGAGCUCAUCAGUGAACCCAAGCAAAGCUGAUGCAAAUCCCACCAUGCAGGAGGCUGGGCCUUCCAAGAGUAUGGUUGCUGCUUUCCAGGCUGAGAAGAUUCUCCAGAAACUUGCAGUCUGAGGAGAACUCCAGUGGUAACAAAGGAGUGACAGCAUGGACUGUGGACUGCUCAUCACUCCUGGCUGCAUCUGCAUCCCUACCCUGGUGCCAGAGGGGGACCCUUCUUCCAGAGAACCCAGGGGGGACCCUGCAAACCUCCUGCCUUCGACUGAGACAGCCAGAGAUGGAACAGGAGCUGUGUUUUAGUGUCUGCCAGAAAGAAAUCCCUGCUGAGCUGCUCCCCUGGCCUUGUGCCCACUCCGUGGUUUCCCGAGGUGCUGCAGGUCCAACCUGCUGGCCACAAGUCCAGGACAUCCUCGUGCUGAGCCAGGUCCUGUUCCUGGAGGGAUUACGAAUCCUUAUUCAUCAAGCCUUACUUCGAGUGCAACAAGAACUGCUGUUUCAGCAGCCUGGUCUAGUGAAAGGUGUGGUAGGGGGUGAAAACUGGAG